RNAcentral lists this ribosomal RNA (442 nucleotides) under uncultured bacterium. RNAcentral's name for it is "bacterial SSU rRNA". It matches the Rfam family "Bacterial small subunit ribosomal RNA", at positions 958 to 1398 of the family's 1533-position model. The record is from RNAcentral.
AACGCGAAGAACCUUACCUGGGCUCGAACGGCUUUAGAUCAUCCUUGGAAACAGGGACUUCCCGCAAGGGACUGGAGUCGAGGUGCUGCAUGGCUGUCGUCAGCUCGUGUCGUGAGAUGUUGGGUUAAGUCCCGCAACGAGCGCAACCCUUGUCCUGUGUUGGCAUGCCGCAAGGCGCAACUCUCAGGAGACCGCCAGCGAUAAGUUGGAGGAAGGUGGGGAUGACGUCAAGUCAGUAUGGCCCUUACGGCCAGGGCUGCACACGUACUACAAUGCCCGGCACAAAGGGAAGCAAGACCGCAAGGUGGAGCAAAUCCCCAAAAACCGGGCCCAGUUCAGAUUGCUGUCUGCAACUCGACAGCAUGAAGCUGGAAUCGCUAGUAAUGGCGCAUCAGCUACGGCGCCGUGAAUACGUUCCCGGGCCUUGUACACACCGAUACUC